This 342-nucleotide small nuclear RNA is filed under the name Erinaceus europaeus (western European hedgehog). Its description in RNAcentral is "7SK RNA". It matches the Rfam family "7SK RNA". Rfam says of the family: 7SK was discovered as an abundant small nuclear RNA in the mid-70s but a possible function has only recently been suggested. Two independent studies have found that 7SK RNA binds the CDK9/cyclin T complex (known as elongation factor P-TEFb). Lineage: Eukaryota; Metazoa; Chordata; Mammalia; Eulipotyphla; Erinaceidae. The record is from Rfam by way of RNAcentral.
AGAUGUGAGGGCAAUCUGGCUGUGAUAUCUGUCACCCCAUUGAUCGCCAGAGAGGAUUUGGCUGAUCAGGCUGGCUAGGCAGGUGUCCCCUUCCUCCCUCACUGCUCAAUGUGCAUCCCUCCUGAAGGUGCUUGCUCAGUCAAAGAGGAAGGCCUUCCUGGAAUAGAGAAGGACCGGUCUUCAGUGGAGGGCAUAUGAGAAGCUGAAAGGGGUUGGGCAGUAGCGCAGCAGGUUAAGUGUACAUGGCACACAAAGGGCAAGGACUGGCAUAAGGAUCCCGGUUCGAGCCCCCAGCUCCCCACCUGCAAGGGGGUCGCUUCACAAGUGGUGGAUCAGGUCUGC